RNAcentral lists this ribosomal RNA (696 nucleotides) under uncultured Methanosaeta sp. Its description in RNAcentral is "bacterial SSU rRNA". It matches the Rfam family "Archaeal small subunit ribosomal RNA", at positions 1 to 705 of the family's 1478-position model. Lineage: Archaea; Methanobacteriati; Methanobacteriota; Methanomicrobia; Methanotrichales; Methanotrichaceae. The record is from RNAcentral.
UCCGGUUGAUCCCGCCGGAGGUUACUGCUAUCGAGGUUCGACUAAGCCAUGCGAGUCGAAUGUAGCAAUACAUGGCGUACUGCUCAGUAACACGUGGACAACCUACCCUUAGGUCGGGGAUAAACCCGGGAAACUGGGUAUAAUACCCGAUAGUCCUCGGAUGCUGGAAUGCACCGAGGUCUAAAGCCCGGCGCCUAAGGAUGGGUCUGCGGCCUAUCAGGUAGUAGUGGGUGUAGCGUACCUACUAGCCUACGACGGGUACGGGUUGUGAGAGCAAGAGCCCGGAGAUGGAUUCUGAGACACGAAUCCAGGCCCUACGGGGUGCAGCAGGCGCGAAAACUUUACAAUGCUGGAAACAGCGAUAAGGGGACCUCGAGUGCCAGGUUACAAAUCUGGCUGUCGUGAUGCCUAAAAAGCAUUGCAUAGCAAGGGCCGGGCAAGACCGGUGCCAGCCGCUGCGGUAACACCGGCGGCUCGAGUGGUAACCGCUAUUAUUGGGUCUAAAGGGUCUGUAGCCGGCCGGAUAAGUCUUUUGGGAAAUCUGGCAGCUUAACUGUCAGGCUUUCAGAGGAUACUGUCUGGCUCGAGGCCGGGAGAGGUGAGAGGUACUUCAGGGGUAGGGGUGAAAUCUUGUAAUCCUUGAAGGACCACCAGUGGCGAAGGCGUCUCACCAGAACGGACCUGACGGCAAGGGAC